CUACGGGACGCAGCAGUGGGGAAUAUUGGACAAUGGGGGAAACCCUGAUCCAGCAAUGCCGCGUGUGUGAAGAAGGCCUGCGGGUUGUAAAGCACUUUCGGUUGGGAGGACUGCUUCUAGCACUAAUAUUGUUGGAAGUUGACGUUACCUUCAGAAGAAGCACCGGCUAACUCCGUGCCAGCAGCCGCGGUAAUACGGAGGGUGCAAGCGUUAAUCGGAAUUACUGGGCGUAAAGCGCGCGUAGGCGGCGAGAUCAGUCGGGUGUGAAAGCCCCGGGCUUAACCUGGGAACUGCAUCCGAUACUGUCUAGCUUGAGUACAGGAGAGGAGAGUGGAAUUCCACAUGUAGCGGUGAAAUGCGUAGAUAUGUGGAGGAACACCAAUGGCGAAGGCAGCUCUCUGGCCUGAUACUGACGCUGAGGUGCGAAAGCGUGGGGGGCAAACAGGAUUAGAUACCCCUGUAGUC
Molecule: ribosomal RNA, 465 nt
Filed under: uncultured bacterium
Lineage: Bacteria
Description: partial 16S ribosomal RNA
Rfam family: Bacterial small subunit ribosomal RNA
Source: RNAcentral